AGCGGACGCUGGCGGCAGGCUUAACACAUGCAAGUCGAGCGGGCACUUUCGGGUGUCAGCGGCGGACGGGUGAGUAACGCGUGGGAACGUGCCCUCUGGUUCGGAAUAACUCAGGGAAACUUGAGCUAAUACCGGAUACGCCCUUUUGGGGAAAGGCUUGCUGCCGGAGGAUCGGCCCGCGUCUGAUUAGCUAGUUGGUGAGGUAACGGCUCACCAAGGCGACGAUCAGUAGCUGGUCUGAGAGGAUGAUCAGCCACACUGGGACUGAGACACGGCCCAGACUCCUACGGGAGGCAGCAGUGGGGAAUAUUGGACAAUGGGCGCAAGCCUGAUCCAGCCAUGCCGCGUGAGUGAUCAAGGCCUUAGGGUUGUAAAGCUCUUUUAUCCGGGACGAUAAUGACGGUACCGGAGGAAUAAGCCCCGGCUAACUUCGUG
RNAcentral lists this ribosomal RNA (435 nucleotides) under uncultured bacterium. Its description in RNAcentral is "partial 16S ribosomal RNA". It matches the Rfam family "Bacterial small subunit ribosomal RNA", at positions 29 to 507 of the family's 1533-position model. The record is from RNAcentral.